UUUUGACCUCGGAUCAGGUAGGGAUACCCGCUGAACUUAAGCAUAUCAAUAAGGCGGGAGGACCUUGUUAC
This 71-nucleotide ribosomal RNA is filed under the name Alternaria sp. RNAcentral describes it as "partial 28S ribosomal RNA". The record is from RNAcentral. Lineage: Eukaryota; Fungi; Ascomycota; Dothideomycetes; Pleosporales; Pleosporaceae.